GAUGAAGAACGUAGCGAAAUGCGAUAAGUAGUGUGAAUUGCAGAAUUCAGUGAAUCAUCGAAUCUUUGAACGCACAUUGCGCCCCUUGGUAUUCCAUGGGGCAUGCCUGUUCGAGCAUCAUUUGUACCUUCAAGCUCUGCUUGGUGUUGGGUGUUUGUCUCGCCUCUGCGUGUAGACUCGCCUUAAAACAAUUGGCAGCCGGCGUAUUGAUUUCGGAGCGCAGUACAUCUCGCGCUUUGCACUCAUAACGACGACGUCCAAAAGUACAUUUUUACACUCUUGACCUCGGAUCAGGUAGGGAUACCCGCUGAACUUAAGCAUAUCAAUAAGCGGAGGA
Molecule: unclassified non-coding RNA, 337 nt
Filed under: soil metagenome
Description: partial contains 5.8S ribosomal RNA, internal transcribed spacer 2, and large subunit ribosomal RNA
Rfam family: 5.8S ribosomal RNA (bases 1-120)
Source: RNAcentral